This 480-nucleotide ribosomal RNA is filed under the name uncultured bacterium. Its description in RNAcentral is "bacterial SSU rRNA". It matches the Rfam family "Bacterial small subunit ribosomal RNA", at positions 28 to 507 of the family's 1533-position model. The record is from RNAcentral.
GAUGAACGCUAGCGGCAGGCUUAACACAUGCAAGUCGAGGGGUAACAGGGAAGCUUGCUUCCGCUGACGACCGGCGCACGGGUGCGUAACACGUAUGGAAUCUGCCCUUUACUGGAGAAUAGCCCGAAGAAAUUCGGAUUAAUGCUCCAUAAUAAACGAGAUGGCAUCAUCUUGUUUGAAAGCUCCGGCGGUAAAGGAUGACCAUGCGCCCGAUUAGUUUGUUGGUGAGGUAACGGCUCACCAAGACUACGAUCGGUAGGGGCCUGAGAGGGUUAUCCCCACACUGGUACUGAGACACGGACCAGACUCCUACGGGAGGCAGCAGUGAGGAAUAUUGGUCAAUGGGCGGAAGCCUGAACCAGCCAUGCCGCGUGCGGGAUGAAGGCCCUACGGGUUGUAAACCGCUUUUCCCCGGGAAGAACUAAGCCCCCGCGGGGGUGAGUGCCGGUACCGGGGAGUAAGGAUCGGCGUAACUCCGUG